UGCACUUGGAUCAGGAAGUUCAUUCCGGAACCUUCAAAAAGCAAACAAGUAAAAAUAGUGUUGGCAUUGAUAGUAGGAAGCAAAGAACUUUAUAAUAGAUGCAAGAAUACCAUUUCAAAUCAAAAUAUUGCUUGCCUGCCCAAUGGAUCACAUUAGCAAAACUAAAAUUAAAAAUUCAGUUCAAGAUUCAAUAAUCAAGAAAAGCAUUAGUGAAGAUGGGUUUUUCUUUCAAAGUAAACAUGAUUAGAGAAGAAGGGACCUGCCCAUUUACACAGAGUAUUUUUCAGGUAUUAUCUGGCAAUUCAAAACCAUUGCAUAUAAGCAGCAGUUUCAUGUUAUCCCACUGUGUUUAGAUCCAUCCAGUGGAAACAUUUAGAAAGACAAAAACAGAAAAUUUAGGAUCUAUCAUCCAAGUUAAUUAAUUCCUAGAUGUAUUGGUCCAUGCAAAACUUCAAAAUACCUAAUUUCAAGAAAAUGAACAAAAAUUGUGAAACUUAAUGCAUUACACCUAAUUAUCCUAUAUCUACAGCAACAAACUAUCAUUAGUGAUCUACAGGAGUUAAAGUACUAGCAAGAGCGGUAGCUGAGCAGCUGAUCAAUUUUUCGAAAGCAACAUUACCAUGCUCCAAAAUUAACCCACUAAAGCAAGCUGCUACACAUUCGACUGGCGAUAAUUUUUCCGUUACUUUCAAAGAAAAAAAAAAAGAGAAGAAUUAAUGAUUUGGACGCUUCUAAAAUAAGUGAAUUUGUGUCAAACCCAAAUUUUAUGUCAAAAAACUCACUUCAAUUUGCAUAAGAACGUUGUUGGCUUCUUCAACCUAUUC
This 824-nucleotide unclassified non-coding RNA is filed under the name Hevea brasiliensis (rubber tree). The record is from RNAcentral. Lineage: Eukaryota; Viridiplantae; Streptophyta; Magnoliopsida; Malpighiales; Euphorbiaceae.